UACGAAGGGGGCUAGCGUUGCUCGGAAUUACUGGGCGUAAAGCGCACGUAGGCGGCUCUUUAAGUCGGAGGUGAAAUCCUGGAGCUCAACUCCAGAACUGCCUUCGAUACUGAAGAGCUCGAGUCCGGGAGAGGUGAGUGGAACUGCGAGUGUAGAGGUGAAAUUCGUAGAUAUUCGCAAGAACACCAGUGGCGAAGGCGGCUCACUGGUCCAUUACUGACGCUGAGGUGCGAAAGCGUGGGGAGCAAACAGG
RNAcentral lists this ribosomal RNA (253 nucleotides) under uncultured bacterium. RNAcentral's name for it is "partial 16S ribosomal RNA". It matches the Rfam family "Bacterial small subunit ribosomal RNA", at positions 524 to 776 of the family's 1533-position model. The record is from RNAcentral.